Molecule: RNA transcript, 1386 nt
Organism: Megalobrama amblycephala (Wuchang bream)
Lineage: Eukaryota; Metazoa; Chordata; Actinopteri; Cypriniformes; Xenocyprididae
Exons: 8
Source: RefSeq, a predicted model, not a curated record
CACACACACACACACGAAGAAAAAAAAAACCGUGCAUACCAGUGCAAGUCCAUUGUUCAGUCGUGAUCAACAGAACACUGUAUUGCGUGCUAAAAACAUUUAAUCUGUUUCGUAUACAAAAGGAAUCGAUUUGACUCUGGAGCAUGACAGGACCUUUGUUUUUUCAUUUACUUUUCCAAGCUGUUCUGCUGUUUGAUACUUUAGCAUGGGAAGUGAAAAUGCCAAAAGACAUUCAUGGCCUCCAGGGUUCCUGUCUGGUUAUACCAUGUUCUUUCUCUUACACAUCAUACCCACCAAAAAACCCACGUAGAAUUGUGUGGUAUCAGUGGGUCUCCAAAGGUUAUCCUUUAGUUUAUGAUCCUUGGCAUGCAGGUGAUAUCAUUAAGAAGUUUAGAGGAAAAACUGAUUUAUAUGGAAAAUCGAAUUGGGAUUGCAGUCUGCUGAUCAAAAACCUUGAACAGACUCAUCAUGGAGAGAAACUGUAUGCAUGGAUUGACCCUGAAAACAUUGGAUGGCGCACCUACGCAUUUUAUGAUGUCACCUCCACAAUUCUAGUUGAUGCAAGUCCACAGCAGCCCAGCAUCAGUAUUUAUGGAGGUGAAAAGAUGGGUGACACCAUCACAGUAGCAUGUUCGACUUUCCACACGUGUCCAUACAGCAAUCCAAACAUCAUUCUAAACGGAACUGAAGGAUCUGAUCAAUUAGACAAUGAGCAUAUUGAAGACGGCCUGUGGAAAAUCACCCUGACACGCACAAGCGUUGUGAAGACAGAAAGCUUAGAAAUUGAGUGUUCUGUAACGUAUCAUGGUGGCAUAACAGUGACAGCUACAAAAAAUAAAAGUUCACAGUCCCCUAUCCAUUAUGAGGCAGGACAAAACCACUGGAUUGAAGACUCUACAUUUCCUAGUGCCCUCACUUGUGUUCCUCCUCGUUUGCAUACUUGCUGGAGUCAUCAUAUACAAGAAAAGAAAUGGACAACUGAGUAUGUCUGAAAGAAGAACAGAUUGGACAAACAGGGAAGACAGGAGUGAUAUCAGAACCGACACAUGUGGAAACAAGCCUUUCUCCAAACCCCGUAUGCCAUCACCAAAGAGUGAGCCAAAAUCCUACUCAAAUUAUGAUGCUGAAUACACUAACAUGGAUGAACUCAACAUGUAUGGAAACAUCUGAUGAAACAAGUUUUUGUACAGCAAAACACAUACAGCAGAUAGUAUACUUUUAGAAAUAUUGUCAGACUCUGUUCAUGUAUUAAUAUAGCAUUAGAAACAAGAUAAACAUCACUUGCUAUAUCACCCAAAAUAAAUCAUCAGCAAAGUCGUCUUAUGUGUUCUCUAAAUAAAUUAAUGGUCAUUUGUUCCAGGCUUUAAUAAACCAAAGAUCAUGGUA